RNAcentral lists this ribosomal RNA (460 nucleotides) under uncultured bacterium. Its description in RNAcentral is "partial 16S ribosomal RNA". It matches the Rfam family "Bacterial small subunit ribosomal RNA", at positions 338 to 795 of the family's 1533-position model. The record is from RNAcentral.
CCUACGGGCGGCAGCAGUGAGGAAUAUUGGUCAAUGGCCGGAAGGCUGAACCAGCCAAGCCGCGUGAAGGACGAAGGUGCCAAGCAUUGUAAACCUCUUUUGCCGGGGAGCAACGGGCGCCACGUGUGGCGCCACUGAGAGUACCCGGAGAAAAAGCAUCGGCUAACUCCGUGCCAGCAGCCGCGGUAAUACGGAGGAUGCGAGCGUUAUCCGGAUUUAUUGGGUUUAAAGGGUGCGUAGGCGGAUCGUUAAGUCAGUGGUCAAAUUGAGGGGCUCAACCCCUUCCCGCCAUUGAAACUGGCGCUCUUGAGUGGAAGAGAAGUAUGCGGAAUGCGUGGUGUAGCGGUGAAAUGCAUAGAUAUCACGCAGAACCCCGAUUGCGAAGGCAGCAUGCCGGCUUCCGACUGACGCUGAAGCACGAAAGCGUGGGGAUCGAACAGGAUUAGAUACCCCAGUAGUC